UUCCUCUUGAAAAUAAUUUUAUAAAAUGGUUGUCUGACAAUCUUCUCACAGUGCUGUGACUCUGAUUUUUGUCCCCAGGGGAUGCAUAAGGAUGGAUGGGCAUUCAGGAGGCAUUAAAUCUCAUGGGACAGCACAGAUAUAAAUCUCGACAUAUUCAGAGAUCCGCAGAUUGGUAUUUAUGAAGUGAUGAGCAGAUGAGGUUAAAAUGAAGGGACAGCGGAGGUUUGAACGAGUUCUGUGCAGCAAUGAAAGAAAUUAUAGGUAAUACUAACAAUAAAGACAUUGAUGACAUGUUGUGAAGAUUGACACUGACUGUGAUGCUUCAUAGACUGGGUAAUGAUGCUGUCCUCUGUGAUGAAAGAUGAGACCAAAGAAGUAGCAGUUGCAAAAGUAAUUUCCUGAUUUAUUUAAAAAAAAAAAAGAGAAGAAAGAAAUCGAACAUCAUUUGUUACUGGUGGUGGGGCAGUGUUUAUUUUCAUAGCUAUCUUCCAUAAUUGUUGCUCUGUCAACACUGCAGAACCUCAGAUAAUUAAUUCUGGUCUCCCUUUGAUACCUGCAAAUGAAAUCACUGUCUGUCUUGCAGGAAGAGUGUCUGGACUAUGUGCUACCCAAAUUCAGAAGCAAGGAUUGCUAGAAAGCAAAUCACACCUGCUCCCCAAAAUGCCCAAGUAAUCGCACUGUAAGCUUGGCUGAACUAAUAUCAAAAGAUGUGGGUCUGAGCAACGUCAGCUUGCUGGAGGUUUUCAAGCAAUGUGUCUUUCUCCUGGCAGAAGAUCUGACACAUCUCUUCAAGAGCUCCGUACUUCACAGUGAAGACCUCGGAGUUUUUUCUCAUACAGCUGUGCAGCAAACUGCUGUGGCUGUGUAUCUCAAACAGGCAGUGAAUCUCUUGUAUAAAAUUGGAUAUUUUUAUUGC
Molecule: long non-coding RNA, 916 nt
Filed under: Calidris pugnax (ruff)
Lineage: Eukaryota; Metazoa; Chordata; Aves; Charadriiformes; Scolopacidae
Description: lncRNA (ENSCPUG00000005572.1)
Source: RNAcentral